UGUACAAUGGAAGAAUAUACAAUUCCCUGAGUAAGUGUGUGCUGCAAAUCCAUCGCUUCACUUAAUGUCCCAGAGAAGAGAAGAAAGGGAAGGUACAGCAGAUGAAGUUUGUCUGGAAGUCCCUGUCUUUGCAGAGUGGGAUUGCAAUAUUUGAGAAGAAAAAAUUAAUCAUCAGACCAUUAUGUUCAUCUUCCACCAAGAAGAGAGAAAAUUUUUAUUUGAAACUCAAGGAAAAUUUUCUGCAAGCCUUGACUGGCCUGUCUCACAACAAGACACUGCAGCGCAGCAAUCCAAAGCCAGCAUGGAUUUAUGGCUGUGAAACAACCUCCUGGUUUUAGAUACCAGCUCUAUAAGUCAUCCAACCAUCCUCAGAAGCCACAGAAAAGGGAAAAGGGGAACUGAAGCCGAAAAGGAUGUCUAAGGCCACAGUCAUGACAGAGCUGCGCUUAGGUUACACGUAGAUUUAGGACUGAGAAAACCACAAACCCAAGGGCUUCAGGGACAAUUACUAUACAAAAGGCAUGCCAAGGGGGGCACAGAACUGCCCCAACAUUGCUCCCUCCAAACCUUGCUCCUUGACACCACCCAUGUAUGGAGGGACUAACCUGAUUUUCAUUUAUGCCUCAACAUAUGUUAUACAUGAUGUGAAAACUUCCUUUAGGUGCUGACAUCAUAGGAAGCCCAGUCUUCAAGUGACUUCAUUUGACAGACAAUGAGGGGAGAGAAACUUCCAUGAUUUGGCUUCAAGGGACUCCUGCAGCUGGGGUAGAACAUCGUCUUCCCAGGAAAAAACGCCAGAUAAAUUGGGCUUUUUUGAGGAGCUUUAGUACAUAAAAGCAGCUACCAGCACCAUACUCCUGGGGCUGCCAUUUUCUGGUUUUCUUGGACGAAGCAGGGGCUUGCCUGGAGCGUCAACUUUGCCCCUUCCUCACCUUUUUCUCUCUGCAAUGCUGCUUCUUCCCUGGCUGUCUGUCCUGUCCACACUGUUCCUCUCCUGCUUCACCAUCUCCCCGAUGGAGCCGGUCGCCAUGACAUCCCUGUGCUCCGCUAUUUGCCAUGGGGGCAGCUGCGGCCUGCAUGGUACCUGCUGUCGCUGCCAUCUUUCCGGCACUGCCCGGAGCCAGCCCUCAGCAGUCAGACCUCAGGAACCAGCCCUCGGGAACCAGCCGUCAGCAGCCGGCCCUGAGGAACCAGCCCUGAGGAACCAGCCGUCAGCAGCCAGCCGUCAGCAGCCAGCCUGUGUUGGUUGGUGAAGGCCAGGACCAGGCUGCCUGGGAGUCGUGCCCAGCUGGUCACAAGAGCCGUGCUGGCUGCUGGCUGCACGCACGAUCCAUCUGCCCAACAGACACCUAUGGGGCACCCUGAGGUGCAGUGUAUGAAGCCAAUUUACCAAAUUCUGUGACAGGUUACCCUAGAGAUCCUUUCAACCUGAAGUUAAAACCACAGCAUUUAAACAUGGAUGCUGAACUUGAACCACUGAAAGGAAAGCAAAAGGACUCUGACAGAUUAGUUACAUACAAGCCUCCUGAAAGCAAGUGGCAUCCACAGCUGCUACUGUCAAAGAGUCCCUGGCCACUUAAAUCUACUUUAUUACUAGUUAGUCAAAUUAAAAGACAACUUCUUGCUUUUCUCUGCAUCAAAAUAGUUUGAAAUGACAAUAACAAUAACAACAAUAAUUUCAGAAUAUUUUGAAUCAUGCAGUCUUGAGAGGAUAUCUGGCAUAUCCUAAAGGAAAUGUCACUGUACUAGAGAUCUAGGGACAUGGACCAUUCAUUUUCUUUAGCUUUUCAAGAGUGUGAUACUUUCUCUAGCUCUUGUUGAGGGCUUUGAUAGAGUUGGAAAGAUAGUCUGUUGUAGAACAUUUUCUUAUUUCAGCCUUUAGCAGAAAAUUACACAGUAUUGCAUAUGGUAAUUCAUUUUUAGGAAUCAAGAUGUCCAUAUUAGACUGUUCAAAGACAGAGAGUAUUUCAGAAUAAACAGAUGCUGGAUGGAUGUUUUUAUGGUUUAUAUAUAUACACCAAAGUCUUAAAUGUAGAGAUCUCCAAACUAGAACGUCUUUGCUUAUAAAACAGCUCCAAUUUACAUUACUGAAGAUUAACAAAUAGAGCAUUGAGGGGAAAAUAACCCAUAUAUGACUGUAAAUACCAGCAUGGAGCAGAAACACACUGAAUGUCCUUUGGUAUAUUAGUGAGUAUUUGACCUCUUUCCCUUAGGCCCCAAUUUCUGAAAUAGCAUGGAAAUGAAUAUCAUUAUGUCUUUCUACUUAACAAAGUCCUCUCUAAUUCCCCUCACCAUUGCUAAAAUUACUUACCAACACUUCCAAAUCACUCAACAGCCCCUAAAUUAUCUGGAGAUAAAAGAAAAGGCACAGCCCAUCAAGCUCCUGGUAACUACAGAUGCUGAGUGCCAUCAUGAGCUUACUUUGAAACUGCCUGUCCUCUGCACCCAGGAGCUGGGGAUCAGCAGACAGCUGAUGCCAAAAUAAAACCUCAAACAUUUCCUCUUCCUUGAAUUGACACAUCUGCUUUGCUCUUGAUUCUGAUUACUUGGAAUGGACUGCUGAAAGCUCCACACAGUCAGGUGGUUUCAAUUCCUUUUCUAAGCAGUGUGUGUGGAUGUUGAGUGCAACAGGGGGAAGCACUUUUUAGUCAUAGUCUGCAUUGCUGAGGGCUUUAGAGGUGUAUCCAGAGCCAUAUUUGGACACAAAUCUCUAGACUUAAACUGUGUGUAAGCUGCAUGGUAAAUGCAUCCCAGGAAGUGAUUUAGCAUAGAAAAUUGUAUAUUGAAUAAUUUUGCCUUUUCCAAAGACAGUGAGCUAUCUACCACUAUGGAAAGUUAGGGACAGUACUAAGAAUCCUUGAUGUGAGGAUCUUCUGUCUCUGUGUGCACUGUUGUGGAGGUUGGCAUUUCUCCAGGAUUUCCCAGAUGCAGCAAUUGAAAAUAAAAAUUGUGCAAGAUGUUGACAAUAAAAAAGUGCAUAUAUUUUGUUCAAGAGAGCUUCCUGUCAAUUGCAACAAAUCUUCAGACACUGUUUGAAGUUUGUGGUUCCCCAAAUUUCAGUUUGGAAAGGCUAAAGUCCCCAGUCUGCCUGUAAAUUACUCAUUUCCUGAAUGCCACACAAACUCAGCCCAGUAAAAGGUGAUUUCUGUGUGCAUGGCAAAUGAAAGACGCAGGACACAUUAAAGGUUAGAAUCUGGAGCUCUUGUUACAGCUUGGCAGACAUAAUCAUAAGAUAAUAGCAUUGCAUCUAUACUAAUCACAGAUUAUGAUAGAGUUUUAGCUGGACCUCCUCAUAGUGAUAGGAGUGACAGUAUAAUCAAAUGGCACACAUGGAAAUCCUUCAAGGGAAUGAUACUGACCUGGUCUUUUGACAGAUGGAGAAAAGGAGGCACAGAACAGGUAAAUUAAUUGCCCCCAAAGCCUGAGGGGAGAAUCAAUUUCAGACAAACUCUUGAAAGUAAAUUUGAUCUCUUGUAACACAUGUGAAGGCAUUUCUAAUGCUCCUGAGGAAAAGAGGAAUGAACUUGUCUUUAACCUCUGUGCACAACACCUCACCUUUAAAAAUGUGGGUGUCUUCAUUAUGACCAACAAAAUGAAGGUAGCCCCUUGUGCUAGUCUGCAGUGGAGAGUGAGACACAUGGACAUGUUACAGACACUCAUUUCUUGGCUUAGGCAACUAUACUCUUUCACUUAGAAGAGUCAAGAGAAAAACACAGAUUUGCUCUGCAGUGAGGAGAGUACAAUUGCUGGAGACCUUGGGGUACGAAGGUUUUAAGGAAACAAAGGUACCUAUAGUAAAUCUAUGUAUGGAUAGUCCUCUUUACUCACAAAUAUACAAUAUGAAAUAUCCUAAGAAUAUAAACCGAGAGUUUUUUGAAAAUGCUGACUUGUUUUGUUUACCUGCUUUGUUUUUGCUAAAUACCUUUACCAUAUGUGAUAUAUAUGUAAGACAAAGCCAGCUAUUCCUGUUAAGAACACUGUGAAGAAGUAUAAAGUUUUUUUUUUUCUUCCAACAGCACAUCCUUGCAAGAAAGCAGCUUUAAGAGCAUUACUGCUAUUGGCAGGACAGAUAUCUUGCUUCCAAAUUCCUACAGGGGUGUGACACUCAGCUGUGGCUGUUGUGAAAGGCAGUUGCAGUGCUGUUAUCCAGCUGUGCAGACAGAAGCCCCCAUUACCCACCCAGGCUUACCAAUACAGUGCAGUGGCUUGAUCAGAAAAUGCUGAUGGUGCUGCUUUACAACAUGGAGACUGAGAGGCUCUCCAGAGAGCAGUUCUGCUUGCUCUGCAGUGUUGGCUUGUUGUAGGGCAGCUGCAUCCAGCAGAGGCCAGGACUGCAGUGUCACUGGCAUUCUACUGUGUCUCUGCGUCAUUGCCCAUUGCACUGUUUUAGAGGUACACAUGGAAGAAGUGCAGCACCUGAGCAGAGGGCUCUGACAACUCUUCACGUUAGCCUCAGAUUAGCAUCAACUUGUGCCCCUGCUACACACUCAGAUUCAGAAUCCAGAGGGGCCUGAGACUGCCCUGCAGAGAUGUUUGCUGUUCAGGCUGAUCUCCAUCUACUCUGACACAGUUUGCAAAGCUCUUAAACUUCAGAGGAAGUGGAGUGUGGUUUUUUUUUUAUCAAGGGCUGGCUAAAGUGAUGUUCUCAUGCCUCAGCAGUUAGGGAUACAGGCAAAAUCUCUUCAUUCUUUUUACUUUUGCAUGUUCAUUGUGGGGGUGCAAAUGGACUCUAAGUGCUGCUGACAGCUAUGUCAGCCUUUGGGCACACAGUCAACUUCACUGUGAACACCUCUUAGCCCAGUAUAGGAGAAAGGCACAGUAGCCAUUACCAAAAAUGUCACUGAUCUAGAAUCUGCUCCAGUCAGUCAGUAUUUUUCUAUUAACUUCAGUGUACUUUGAAACAGGCUUAAUGGAGGUGAAUUCUUUUGUUUUGGGCAGCACUAUGAGAUUGUUCCUUUAGAAACUGCUUUAUGAAAACCUCUACAGCUCAUGUAGAUAUAGAGAGAAUGUGGAUACUUUCUCAAGUCCUGAAAGGAAGAAGCAGGUUUACAGGUUAACUGUAAAUACUGUGUUUUCAUAAAUGACCAGAAGGAGCAAGUGUUGCACAAAAGUUCAGAUCUGUUACCCACACAUAGUGACUCUAUAAAGACAGAUCGGGAGAUUCUGUAAGUUAUUAAUGCAAGUAUUUUGCAUAUGUAUAGAACUUACCCUAUAUAUCUUUAUUAUAAAACAAAUUUUAUAAUAAAAGAUUUCAUGGUCUCUGCUCAGGACCUCUGCCAUCCCCCAUAUACUUCACAUCAAUGUUAUUUCUAAAACUGUUGUACUUCGGGUUAGAUUUAGCCAUGUCCACUGUGAUUUCUGGAACUCAUGAAUGAUUACCAUGCAGGCUAGAGUCAGUGUUUGAAUUACACACAGGACUUUAAGAAAAGACUGGAUGGUCUCACUUAGGGUCAUGGACUAGUUUACAAGGUGGUGUUAGGUCAUAGGCUGGACUUGAUGAUCUAAAAAGCUCUUUUCCAGUCUAGUUGAUUCUGUGAUCCUGUGAUUCCUAAUUCUAAUCUAAGAUCUGUCAAUACUUCUGUAACUUUGAUUACAUUCUUUGCCAUGAAUUUUUGCCCUAGUUUAACUAAAACUUUUCUACAUCCUUCCUCCAUGUAAAAACCCAUACAUUUGAAAAUGUUAUCACACACACCCAGAGUAUUCAAGUGGUCAUCAAAUUUUAAGUAUUGUUGAAAGUGUUUGUUGUUGAAAGUGAAUAUCUUUGUCACAAUGACCCUUUGAAAUACCAAAUGUUAGGCCUUUCCUGUGGAACAAAAUCAUAAAAAAGACACAAAAUAAUCAACAGUAUACAAAAAAAUCUAACAUUUAAAGUUUUAUUUAUUAAAAUCUUUAUGAGACCUGAUUUACAAAAGAUGGUAAAGAUAGAGGGUUGGUUUGCAAUUAAAAAAAAAAUCUUGUAUUGAUGGCAAUUAAAAUUAAUAUACUGGAAAAAAUGGAAAAAAUAAUUUUCUGCUGGAUAC
Molecule: long non-coding RNA, 6020 nt
Organism: Hirundo rustica (Barn swallow)
Lineage: Eukaryota; Metazoa; Chordata; Aves; Passeriformes; Hirundinidae
Exons: 4
Source: RefSeq, a predicted model, not a curated record